This 487-nucleotide ribosomal RNA is filed under the name uncultured bacterium. RNAcentral describes it as "partial 16S ribosomal RNA". It matches the Rfam family "Bacterial small subunit ribosomal RNA", at positions 28 to 523 of the family's 1533-position model. The record is from RNAcentral.
GAUGAACGCUGGCGGCGUGCUUAACACAUGCAAGUCGAACGAAGCACUUUUGAUUCUUCGGAAAAGAAAGUGACUGAGUGGCGGACGGGUGAGUAACGCGUGGGUAACCUGCCUUAUACAGGGGGGUAACAGUUGGAAACGACUGCUAAUACCGCAUAAGCCGACAGGGCCGCAUGGCCUGGUUGGAAAAGAUUUAUCGGUAUAAGAUGGACCCGCGUCUGAUUAGCUAGUUGGUGAGGUAAUGGCUCACCAAGGCGACGAUCAGUAGCCGGCUUGAGAGAGUGAACGGCCACAUUGGGACUGAGACACGGCCCAAACUCCUACGGGAGGCAGCAGUGGGGAAUAUUGCACAAUGGGGGAAACCCUGAUGCAGCAACGCCGCGUGAAGGAAGAAGUAUUUCGGUAUGUAAACUUCUAUCAGCAGGAAAGAAAAUGACGGUACCUGACUAAGAAGCCCCGGCUAACUACGUGCCAGCAGCCGCCGUAA